RNAcentral lists this ribosomal RNA (273 nucleotides) under uncultured Clostridium sp. RNAcentral's name for it is "partial 16S ribosomal RNA". It matches the Rfam family "Bacterial small subunit ribosomal RNA", at positions 524 to 796 of the family's 1533-position model. Lineage: Bacteria; Bacillati; Bacillota; Clostridia; Eubacteriales; Clostridiaceae. The record is from RNAcentral.
UACGUAGGUGGCAAGCGUUGUCCGGAUUUACUGGGCGUAAAGGAUGCGUAGGCGGACAUUUAAGUCAGAUGUGAAAUACCCGGGCUCAACUUGGGUGCUGCAUUUGAAACUGGGUGUCUAGAGUGCAGGAGAGGAAAGCGGAAUUCCUAGUGUAGCGGUGAAAUGCGUAGAGAUUAGGAAGAACACCAGUGGCGAAGGCGGCUUUCUGGACUGUAACUGACGCUGAGGCAUGAAAGCGUGGGGAGCAAACAGGAUUAGAUACCCGAGUAGUCC